AUUGAACGCUGGCGGCAUGCCUUACACAUGCAAGUCGAACGGCAGCACGGGGCAACCUGGUGGCGAGUGGCGAACGGGUGAGUAAUGCAUCGGAACGUACCUUUCAGUGGGGGAUAACGUAGCGAAAGUUACGCUAAUACCGCAUAUUCUGUGAGAAGGAAAGCAGGGGAUCGCAAGACCUUGCGCUGAUUGAGCGGCCGAUGUCAGAGUAGCUAGUUGGUGAGGUAAAGGCUCACCAAGGCGACGAUCUGUAGCGGGUCUGAGAGGAUGAUCCGCCACACUGGAACUGAGACACGGUCCAGACUCCUACGGGAGGCAGCAGUGGGGAAUUUUGGACAAUGGGGGCAACCCUGAUCCAGCCAUGCCGCGUGAGUGAAGAAGGCCUUCGGGUUGUAAAGCUCUUUCGGCCGGGAAGAAAUCGCACGGGCUAAUACCCUGUGUGGAUGACGGUACCGGAAUAAGAAGCACCGGCUAACUACGUGCCAGCCGCCGCGGUAA
This 498-nucleotide ribosomal RNA is filed under the name uncultured bacterium. RNAcentral describes it as "partial 16S ribosomal RNA". It matches the Rfam family "Bacterial small subunit ribosomal RNA", at positions 30 to 523 of the family's 1533-position model. The record is from RNAcentral.